GACGAACGCUGGCGGCGUGCUUAACACAUGCAAGUCGAACGGAAAGGCCCUGCUUUUGUGGGGUGCUCGAGUGGCGAACGGGUGAGUAACACGUGAGUAACCUGCCCUUGACUUUGGGAUAACUUCAGGAAACUGGGGCUAAUACCGGAUAGGAGCUCCUGCUGCAUGGUGGGGGUUGGAAAGUUUCGGCGGUUGGGGAUGGACUCGGGGCGUAUCAGCUUGUUGGUGGGGUUGUGGCGUACCAAGCCUUUGACGGGUACCCGACGUGAGAGGGUGAUCGGCGGCCUGGGAGCGGGGACGCGGACAAUAGGACUGAGGGAGGGACCAGACUGCAACGUGAGGCAGUAGGGGGAAACAUGGCAGAGUGGGCGGGAGCCUGAUACAAAAACGCCGGGUGCGGGAUGACGGCUUUCGGGUUGUGAACAGCUUUCGACGGAGACGAAGCGUGAGUGACGGUAAUGGGUCAAGAAGCACCGGCUAACUACGUG
This 488-nucleotide ribosomal RNA is filed under the name uncultured bacterium. RNAcentral describes it as "partial 16S ribosomal RNA". It matches the Rfam family "Bacterial small subunit ribosomal RNA", at positions 28 to 507 of the family's 1533-position model. The record is from RNAcentral.